RNAcentral lists this non-coding RNA (30 nucleotides) under Mus musculus (house mouse). Lineage: Eukaryota; Metazoa; Chordata; Mammalia; Rodentia; Muridae. The record is from RNAcentral.
UCCUGGUUUCACUUUGACUGCUUUGUCUUG